GGGGGACGUGGGCCUCCCGACUGACAGCCUGCAAAGGAACGGCUCCGAUGUUCUGCUGUGCUGAUGUCCAUCAUUGCUGUGCUGUAACUGUCUGAGUGUAGAGCCUGAAUGCUGAGAGUGCCCUCAUAGGAACACAGGCCAGCAUCAGCACGGACAGCAGCACAGCGGAGACCACAGCAAUCACUGGGAUGUGGUGUUUUCGCAGCUCUUCGCCAACAGCGGCCGUUGUGAUUUUCCCAACAUCCACCCCUGGAAGAACCGAGACAAUGCCACAGGUUACUGUCAUCUGCGCUGCAGAUGAUCUCACAGUGUGCUUCAUGGACCCAAGAGGUUUCCUUUAUCAUCAGUGGGUACCUCCAUCUCUGGUGUAUAAGCACCAGAGGACAAGAAGGAUUGCUUCCACUUCUCGUUGGGCAGGGAGAGGCUGCACCGGCACUCUGGGCUGAGGGCUGGGGCUCUGCCCUGGGGUCUGGGCUUUGUCCGUCGGGAGCAGUGCAGAGCAGAAACCCUCACACUUUCCCCAGCACACAUGUCCUGAGCUCUCCGCCAGAACAUCCCCCAGGCUGAAGGUCGGCCUCCAGCCAGCACAAGGCACAGCUGGAGCCAGCCCAGCAGAGAAACACUCCUGCAGGCUCCUACCACACAGGGCCAGGCUCAUCGCCCUCGCGUUCCUUUAUAGCACGUGCUCUGUACUAGCCUGCUCACGUUUGGCUGCCGGCCUGCUGCGCAAGAGCAGGCAGGAAGGGCCUGGUGGCACACAGUGAUUCUGGUUGGUGACACCAGAUGACCAUGGGACUGAAAUUACCUGGCAAUCCAGCUGCUUGUUCUGCCUGUGUUUUUCUGUCAGAGACUGGCCGUGUGUCACUGCUGCUUUCCUGCAAUGGCUCCUUCUGCACAGUCUCUUGGUCAGUCCCUUUAGUCCCACCAUGCGCUGCCUUCUCCAUUUUCUUCACGGGUUCCUUUAGGACACGGGAUGACCACCAGUAGUACUUCCCUCUUCUAGGUGUAUCCUUUCCUCUGUUUCCUCUUUGCGGACCUUAACAGAAUGCAUGAAAUUCAGUCUCCCGUGCUUGAAGUUUUGAAGACCAGCAGUGCGUCAGUGGAAUCAGUGAAGACCAUCUACUCACCCAUGGGAUUCCAACUGGUCUCCAUCGCAGGAAGGAGCCGAGAAACCAGCAAGGCCCUCCCUGGGGGCACUUCUGCAACCAAAGACCCAUGAAAAGUUUCCGUGCACAACGGCAUCACUGAAUAGUGGAGCAUACCAGGGGAUCGUGCAAGGAAAGGGCAUACACGCACAGGACUACGCUCUCACACCUGCAGACAGACCUGGCCGACAUUUGGCCUUUGAGCUGGCAGCUCUCAAAGGAACUAAAAAGCCAUGACAUACCCAUGUGAUCUGCCGGAGUUUCAGUCCUGGAACUCAGAGGGGAAGCUGGAGCACCUUCAUUCCAGUCACACCUGCAAUCAAACACAGGACAGAGAGACUUUACUUAGACGUUCUUCCAGUCAGAAUGACAGGGGAUGCAAUUAAGACAGGGGAUUCCUUCGUGACGCUGUUCUCUCCGUUCCACAAAGGAGCAGCUUGGAAACAGAUCCUGG
Molecule: long non-coding RNA, 1599 nt
Organism: Gallus gallus (chicken)
Lineage: Eukaryota; Metazoa; Chordata; Aves; Galliformes; Phasianidae
Source: Ensembl